This 400-nucleotide ribosomal RNA is filed under the name uncultured bacterium. RNAcentral describes it as "bacterial SSU rRNA". It matches the Rfam family "Bacterial small subunit ribosomal RNA", at positions 29 to 456 of the family's 1533-position model. The record is from RNAcentral.
AACGAACACUGGCGGCAUGCCUAACACAUGCAAGUCGAACGAGACCUUCGGGUCUAGUGGCGCACGGGUGCGUAACGCGUGGGAAUCUGCCCUUGGGUUCGGAAUAACAGUUAGAAAUGACUGCUAAUACCGGAUAAUGUCUUCGGACCAAAGAUUUAUCGCCCAGGGAUGAGCCCGCGUAGGAUUAGCUAGUUGGUGAGGUAAAGGCUCACCAAGGCGACGAUCCUUAGCUGGUCUGAGAGGAUGAUCAGCCACACUGGGACUGAGACACGGCCCAGACUCCUACGGGAGGCAGCAGGUGGGGAAUAUUGGACAAUGGGCGAAAGCCUGAUCCAGCAAUGCCGCGUGAGUGAUGAAGGCCUUAGGGUUGUAAAGCUCUUUUACCGGGAUGAUAAUGACA